AAGAGGGUUUUGGAUCAUGGCUCAGGGCGAACGUUAGCGGCGGGCCUAACACAUGCAAGUCGAACGAGAACGCUCCUUCGGGAGUUAUUAAAGUGGCGCACGGGUGAGGAACGCGUAGGUAAUCUACCCUCCGGCGGGGGACAACAUUCCGAAAGGAAUGCUAAUACCGCGUAAGACCACGCCCACUGCGGUGGAAGUGGUUAAAGACGGCCUCUUCUUGAAAGCUGUCACCAGAGGAUGAGCCUGCGUCCCAUCAGCUUGUUGGUGAGGUAAUGGCUUACCAAGGCGAAGACGGGUAGCUGGUCUGAGAGGAUGAUCAGCCACACUGGCACUGGAACACGGGCCAGACUCCUACGGGAGGCAGCAGUGAGGAAUAUUGGGCAAUGGGCGCAAGCCUGACCCAGCCACGCCGCGUGUGUGAUGAAGGCCUUCGGGUCGUAAAGCACUGUGGGGAGAGACGAACAAUUUCCGUCCUAAUACGACGGAGACCUGACGGUACCUCCUUAGCAAGCACCGGCUAACUCUGUGCCAGCAGCCGCGGUAAUACAGAGGGUGCAAACGUUGCUCGGAUUUACUGGGCGUAAAGCGCGUGUAGGCGGACUCGCAAGUCGGUUGUGAAAUCCCUGGGCUUAACCUAGGAACUGCAUCCGAAACUGCGUGUCUUGAGUAAUGGAGAGGGUGGCGGAAUUCCCGGUGUAGAGGUGAAAUUCGUA
This 713-nucleotide ribosomal RNA is filed under the name uncultured bacterium. Its description in RNAcentral is "bacterial SSU rRNA". It matches the Rfam family "Bacterial small subunit ribosomal RNA", at positions 1 to 692 of the family's 1533-position model. The record is from RNAcentral.